GNUUAACGCUANCCACAGGCCUAACACAUGCAAGUCGAGGGGCAGCACAGUGUAGCAAUACAUAGGUGGCGACCGGCGCACGGGUGAGUAACGCGUAUGCAACCUGCCUACAACAGGGGGAUAACCCGGAGAAAUCCGGACUAAUACCGCAUAAAACAGGGGUCCCGCAUGGGAGUAUUUGUUAAAGAUUUAUCGGUUGUAGAUGGGCAUGCGUUCCAUUAGUUGGUUGGUGAGGUAACGGCUCACCAAGACGUCGAUGGAUAGGGGAACUGAGAGGUUUGUCCCCCACACUGGAACUGAGACACGGACCAGACUCCUACGGGAGGCAGCAGUGAGGAAUAUUGGUCAAUGGGCGAGAGCCUGAACCAGCCAAGUCGCGUGAAGGAAGACUGCCUUAUGGGUUGUAAACUUCUUUUAUACAGGAAUAAAAAGGCUUACGUGUAGGCCAUUGCAAGUACUGUAUGAAUAAGCAUCGGCUAACUCCGUGCCAGCAGCCGCGGUAAUACGGAGGAUGCGAGCGUUAUCCGGAUUUAUUGGGUUUAAAGGGUGCGCAGGCGGGCUUUUAAGUCAGCGGUGAAAUCUGGACGCUUAACGUCCMAANCUGCCGUUGAAACUGGGAGUCUUGAGUAUGRAUGAAGUAGGCGGAAUUCGUUGUGUAGCGGUGACAUGCAUAGAUAUAACGAGGAACUCCGAUUGCGUAGGCAGCUUAYUAAGCCAUAACUGACGCUCAUGCACGAAAGCGUGGGGAUCAAACAGGAUUAGAUACCCUGGUAGUCCACCCCGUAAACGAUGAUUACUAGUUGUAUGCGAUAUNAUAGUAUGUGANUAAGCGAAAGCGAUAAGUANUCCACNUGGGGAGUNCGCCCNCAAGGUUAAAACUCAAAGNAAUUGNCGGGGNCCCGCNCAANCGGUGGAUNAUGUGGAUUAAUUCGAUGCAACGCGAAAANCCUUACNUNCCCUUGACAUGCCAGGAACUUGCCANANAUGGCUUGGUGCCCNAAAGGGAGCCUGGACNCAGGUGCUGCAUGGCUGUCGUCAGNUCGUGUCGUGANAUGUUGGGUUAAGUCCCNCAACGAGCGCANCCCUUGUCAUUAGUUGCCAUCAUUCAGUUGGGCACUNUAAUNAGACUGCCGGUGNCAAACCGGAGNAAGGUGGGGAUGACGUCAAGUCNUCAUGGCCCUUAUGGGUAGGGCUUCACACGUCAUNCAAUGGUCGGUCCAGGGGGUUGCCAACCCGCGAGGGGGAGUUAAUCCCAGAAANCCGNUNGUAGUCCGGAUCNCAGUNUGCAAUCUCGAUUGNGUGAAGUCGGAAUCGUUNGUAUUUCGCGNUNAAAGCAUNCCGCGGUNANNGUAAANG
RNAcentral lists this ribosomal RNA (1356 nucleotides) under Dysgonomonas gade. RNAcentral's name for it is "Dysgonomonas gadei partial 16S ribosomal RNA". It matches the Rfam family "Bacterial small subunit ribosomal RNA", at positions 28 to 1370 of the family's 1533-position model. Lineage: Bacteria; Pseudomonadati; Bacteroidota; Bacteroidia; Bacteroidales; Dysgonomonadaceae. The record is from RNAcentral.